GGACCCGCACAAGCGGUGGAGCAUGUGGUUUAAUUCGACAAUAAGCGAGGAACCUCACCAAGGUUUGACAUAUAGCUGCAAGUCCUGGAAACAGGAACGCCUUCGAGGGUGCUAUACAGAUGCUGCAUGGUUGUCGUCAGCUCGUGUCGUGAGAUGUACCGUUAAGUCGGAAAACGAGCGCAACCCCUAUCCUAUGUUUUACAUGUCAUAGGAAACUGCCCGUUUUAAAUGGGAGGAAGGCGGGGAUGACGUCAAAUCAGCAUGGUUCUUACACCUUGGGCAACACACGUGCUACAAUGGGGCAUACAGAGGGACGCCAAACCGUAAGGUGGAGCAAAUCCUUAAAAUGCCUCUCAGUUCGGAUCGAGGUCUGCAAUUCGACCUCGUGAAGCCGGAAUCGCUAGUAAUCGUGGAUCAGCUACGCCACGGUGAAUACGUUCUCGGGUCUU
Molecule: ribosomal RNA, 449 nt
Filed under: uncultured bacterium
Lineage: Bacteria
Description: bacterial SSU rRNA
Rfam family: Bacterial small subunit ribosomal RNA
Source: RNAcentral